ACGAACGCUGGCGGCGUGCCUAACACAUGCAAGUCGAGCGGGAAAGUGGGAGCAAUCCUGCGAGUACAGCGGCGCACGGGUGAGUAACACGUAGGUAACCUACCUCCGAAACUGGGAUAACCUGUCGAAAGAUGGGCUAAUACCGGAUAAGACCACGAGAGCUUUGGUUCUUGGGUAAAAGGUGGCCUCUUCUUGAAAGCUACCGUUGGGAUGGCCUGCGUGCCAUUAGCUAGUUGGUGGGGUAANGGCCCACCAAGGCAAAGAUGGCUAGCUGGUCUGAGAGGAUGGCCAGCCACACUGGGACUGAGACACGGCCCAGACUCC
This 324-nucleotide ribosomal RNA is filed under the name uncultured bacterium. RNAcentral describes it as "bacterial SSU rRNA". It matches the Rfam family "Bacterial small subunit ribosomal RNA", at positions 29 to 339 of the family's 1533-position model. The record is from RNAcentral.